This 66-nucleotide non-coding RNA is filed under the name Lachnospiraceae bacterium XPB1003. Lineage: Bacteria; Bacillati; Bacillota; Clostridia; Lachnospirales; Lachnospiraceae. The record is from RNAcentral.
AACCGCCGUAUGCCGAACGGCACGUACGGUGGUGUGAGAGGGAUGGACAAACCAUCCCUACUCGAU